Molecule: long non-coding RNA, 1164 nt
Filed under: Homo sapiens (human)
Lineage: Eukaryota; Metazoa; Chordata; Mammalia; Primates; Hominidae
Description: HSALNT0314720
Source: RNAcentral
CAAAAUGUUCACGGAGGGAAACCCUGGAAUCUCCCCCUGAAAACCUGUUAAUGUGGCUGAGAGCUCAAAACUGAAUCAUUGAAAACAGUAUAUUUUAUGGACAUAGAGAAAGAUGCUGCUUUUCUCCUGACAAUCUUCAAAGAGGGACCAGGUCAUGAUAAAGCAAAGCUGAAAGUCACUGCAGAGCAGGUCAGCAACCCACAGAGACAAUCUUCCCUAAAUUGGCACUUUAAUGCCUUGGGUUUUAGCAUUCUGGCCUCAGAUGGAAAACCUGUAUGGACUCAGGACUGGAAUUAGAAAAUUUUAAGAGAACAAAAGCAAAAGGAAGUUUUGCUGCUAACUGUCUCUAUCAAGUUUUUCUACAUUGAAGACAAACUGUGUAUGUGAUUUGUUCUCCUCAAAUGAGAUAUUCAGGAAUUCCGGAGCAAGGAAGUUAUUGGCAUUCGUUUAGUGUACCACAAUGCUAGGGCUGAGGCCUCCGGGAUCCUCUGGGCCUUUUUCAUGGUUGAAAAAUGACAGUGGCAGCUUCAUUCCUUGUGCCCAGUUCCAGAGAGGAGGAAUGAGAAAGGAGCAAGAAGAAAAGGCUGACAUCUAUGGGAAGCCAAACUUUUUCAGGAAUCCCCUGCUCAGCACAAUCAUAACUACAUAGAUGAUUACAGUUGUAUGUUCGGAGAAAAAGAGGAGAGAGAAGACUAAGACUCAUAGGAAAGAAUCCUGCUUUUAUUAAUCAUUCAUACAUAUUUUCAUUUAUGUUUUGAAAGCCAACAACAUACCAGGCUGUCUGUUUGGCACUUAAUAUCUUCAGUCUGACCGAUACCAACUUCGGUUUUCUUGUGGAAAAAAUAAGGAUGUGCUCCUCCUGGGCAUUCAGAAUCCAGCAGGAACACUAUCGCCUCUAUGAACCCCAUACCAGCCCAGGCUAAGUAAGAUGCUGUGGUAGAUUACAUUUUCCAAAGAUGGCUACACCAAGAUAUAUCCUGCCCCACAUAUCCUUCUUAUACCAUGACACUGACACGUCUCCAUCAAGAGAUGAGAUCCUUGUUCCCCUACCUUGACCUGGGUGGACCUUUGUAACUGCCUCAAACAACAGUGUGACAGAAGUGCAUGACCUCUCAGAUGUAUUUGUCGGGGUUUUCCAGAGAAACAGAAUCAAUAGGAUGUAUG